This 274-nucleotide ribosomal RNA is filed under the name uncultured bacterium. RNAcentral describes it as "partial 16S ribosomal RNA". It matches the Rfam family "Bacterial small subunit ribosomal RNA", at positions 523 to 796 of the family's 1533-position model. The record is from RNAcentral.
AUACGGAGGGUGCAAGCGUUAUUCGGAAUCACUGGGCGUAAAGGACGCGUAGGCGGGUUGGCAAGUCAGAUGUGAAAUCCUACAGCUUAACUGUAGAACUGCAUUUGAAACUGCUAACCUAGAGUAUGGGAGGGGGAGAUGGAAUUAGUGGUGUAGGGGUAAAAUCCGUAGAUAUCACUAGGAAUACCGAAAGCGAAGGCGAUCUCCUGGAACAUAACUGACGCUAAGGCGUGAAAGAGUGGGGAGCAAACAGGAUUAGAUACCCUAGUAGUCC